AAGUGUUAUAGCUCUUUUAGAAUAAGUCUAGCAGGUUUUCUGGCUUCACUGGAAAACCCUC
Otolemur garnettii (small-eared galago) is the source of this 61-nucleotide small nuclear RNA. Its record names the gene U7. It matches the Rfam family "U7 small nuclear RNA". Rfam says of the family: Animal histone pre-mRNAs are spliced by a different mechanism than nuclear pre-mRNAs and self-splicing introns. This processing involves the U7 snRNP, which contains only one RNA species: U7. The record is from Ensembl. NCBI's taxonomy places the organism in Eukaryota, Metazoa, Chordata, Mammalia, Primates, Galagidae.